UUGAUUUAAUAUCCUAAAACUAAUACAUUUUUACAUUUUUUUAGUAUGUGUACCUCUAAUUAAUUUUUAUAUGCAUGAAGUAUAUGUAAGAUGAUGUAGAAGAGGUGCAUAUAUUUUGGGUGUUCGGAAAGUUCUAAUAAAUAACUUGUAACUAAUUUCAUAAUUGAAGGAACACUAACUACAUAAUGAAGUUAAAAGCCAACAAUUUCAAAGAAAAAUAGUAAUAAGUAAGUGUCUACACCCUCCACCUUUAUAUAUAUAGAUAACCAAAGAUUGUAUUAAGUGUGUGGUAAUCAUGAACAAUAAACAUUUUAGGUUGUUUUUUAUUUUGCUCAUUCUCCUUCCUUCUGAGAUGGUGAAAGCAUCAGAAGAAACAAAUGGAAAUGGAUAUUAUAUUGCCCUUUGCCAACAGAGGUGUGUUGCUAAUGGUUUUCUAUAUGGUACAGUCCCCCCGUCAAGGCCUAGACAAUGCAUCUGUACUAUGGAAAAAGAUUUUAACCAUUUGCUCUCUUCUCCAUUUCAUACUAAGAUUUGAAAAUAUUAAUCUAAUAACGUGACACUUAAUAAGUACAUUUAUUUUUAUGUACUACAUAUGUCUCUAAACUGUAAUAAUGGAGAAAAAAAAAAGAGAGAAAAUGGAGAAAUCCUUUCUUAAAUAUGGUUCUUUAAUUGCUAGAUCUGGUCUUUUGGAUCAUUUUCUGUUUUAUUGCUAUUAAUCUUAAUAUGUUUUUAAUUUCUAUUUGGUUCUUUAAGCUUUGAUUUUAUGCAUAA
Long non-coding RNA from Vicia villosa (hairy vetch), 771 nucleotides. RefSeq lists it as uncharacterized. The record is from RefSeq and is a predicted model, not a curated record. The transcript has 2 exons. NCBI's taxonomy places the organism in Eukaryota, Viridiplantae, Streptophyta, Magnoliopsida, Fabales, Fabaceae.